GGUAGCGAAAUUCCUUGUCGGUUAAAUACCGACCUGCAUGAAUGGCGUAACGAGAUGGGAGCUGUCUCAAAGAGGGAUCCAGUGAAAUUGUAGUGGAGGUGAAAAUUCCUCCUACCCGCGGCAAGACGGAGAGACCCCGUGGACCUUUACUAUAGCUUGACACUGCUAUUUGGAUAAAGAUGUGCAGGAUAGGUGGGAGGCUUUGAGUAUAUGACGCCAGUUGUAUAUGAGCCAUUGUUGAGAUACCACUCUUCUUUAUUUGGGUAGCUAACUAGCCUAAGUUAUCCUUAGGUAGGACAAUGUCUGGUGGGUAGUUUGACUGGGGCGGUCGCCUCCCAAAUAAUAACGGAGGCUUACAAAGGUUGGCUCAGAACGGUUGNAAAUCGUUCGUAGAGUAUAAAGGUAUAAGCCAGCUUAACUGCAAGACAUACAAGUCAAGCAGAGACGAAAGUCGGUCUUAGUGAUCCGGUGGUUCUGUGUGGAAGGGCCAUCGCUCAAAGGAUAAAAGGU
This 510-nucleotide ribosomal RNA is filed under the name Campylobacter coli. RNAcentral's name for it is "bacterial LSU rRNA". It matches the Rfam family "Bacterial large subunit ribosomal RNA", at positions 1955 to 2464 of the family's 2925-position model. The record is from RNAcentral. Lineage: Bacteria; Pseudomonadati; Campylobacterota; Epsilonproteobacteria; Campylobacterales; Campylobacteraceae.